This 66-nucleotide transfer RNA is filed under the name Brookesia ramanantsoai. RNAcentral's name for it is "tRNA-Met". The record is from RNAcentral. Lineage: Eukaryota; Metazoa; Chordata; Lepidosauria; Squamata; Chamaeleonidae.
AUUAGAGUCUGCUACAUAAGCAAUUGGGCCCAUACCCCAAAAACGAUGAUAUAACAUCUUCUAAUA